This is a long non-coding RNA of Sarcophilus harrisii (Tasmanian devil), 1992 nucleotides long. RefSeq lists it as uncharacterized. The transcript is spliced from 3 exons. Lineage: Eukaryota; Metazoa; Chordata; Mammalia; Dasyuromorphia; Dasyuridae. The record is from RefSeq and is a predicted model, not a curated record.
AAAAAAGUCUUCUCACAAGACCAACUGCUAUCCAAAGCGAAACUUGAGUCUAUAUUUGACUGUAUUUGGCUUCUUUCGAGAAACCACCCUUCCAUUCUCAGUUUUCCCUAAUCACAGAAGAAAAUUUUCCAAGAUAAUUUACCCUGAGGUUUUAUUGAUUUAAUAUGCUAUCCUUCCCAAAAUGUUUACAUUUUAAGAAGAAAUUAGAAGAGAGAAAUGCUCAAUUCAAAUGAAUUCAUCACUAAUAGAAGAAUUGAAAGAAACAUAACACCUGAACAUGGAAGAUAUUUUGAAGAAAGAGUAUAUCCUUGGUGGCUCCCAAGUGAUAGGACACAGACAUCUAUAUGGUCCACUUAAGCAUAAGGCAAACUCAUUGUUCUAAGAUUCCAUUUCUGUUUUCCUCUAGAACAGGUGACCUUGCAGGAACCACUAGAACUGAAAUUUCAUAAAGGGAAAGAAAGUUUUGUGACUUGGACCAGUAACACCUGAAAAAAAAAAAUUGACUACGCCUACUAAGGGAGUACCCUCAUUCAGGUCAGACUUUGACUCAAAAGAAGAAAAUAAAAUUAUGACUCCAAAAGUACAGAAGAUAAUUUUUUCCAGACACCUGAACGACUUUUAUGUCUUUUCCAACUUUCGAACCUCCUCUUAGACCAAAUAAGGAUAUGCUACAUACUUGUAGCUGUUCCUGAGAAUUAGACAAAUCAGACCUGACUAGGACUUCUGAUUAUGCCCUGAUGCAUGCCUGUAUCAUAAUGAGGAACUCUCCUCCUCCUAGGCAGAUCCUGCAUCUACUUUGAAACUUGAAAGACACAAAGAGUUGGAAGAAACUUUGGGAGAGAUUAAAUGACUUGCCCAGGGUCAUAUAGAUAGAACAUUUUUCCAAGUAGGGCCUUCCUGACUCCAAGGCCAGCCACACUGCCUCUUUGAAAGUGUUUGGAUAUACAUUUAUUUAGAAACCAAACUGGGGUCGGAGUUUGAAGAAUCCCUGUGAGAAUGAGAAUUGUUCCAGCUAAAAGUCUACAAAGGUCUCCUAGAUAGCCAUGCUCUCUCUGCUGGGACUGAUCAGGUCUCAAAGCACUUUUCCAGGUCUGCCCCAAAGGCUAAACCCCUAAAUGGUCGGAGUUCGAACUGUGCAAAUUUUUUCGGGUCUAAAGACGUGUUUCCAAGGUGUAUUUCUGGUCUCCAAAAGGAUGAUCGUUUAUCAAUCCAGUAGCACCGGGCUUAAUUCGCAUUAACAUCUCAGAAGAAAAAGCUUAUUGCAUUUUUUUUUCUCUAUCCAGCAUCUAUGAUCUUCACUUAAAAAACAUCCAAGCUGAAAAGCUGCUUUCUGUCCCUUUUAUCAACUCUUGGGUCACUGAGAUGCAUCUCGGAACGCCUCAUUAUGAGUCAAAAGGCUACUUGCACAGAAUUUUCUUUAUCAACAGCUCCGCUAAAUGGUUAUAGUUAAUUACAUACAAAUUUCUCAGCCAUUGACAACAAGGUCAGGGAGAAAAUGUAUUCGAGCAGCUCAACCUGCAGAAAUAAAAACAGGAGACAAUUUUCUUUAGAUUGGAAAAGAGAAGGAAGCCCUGAAAAUCGACAGAAGCUGGUUCCAGGCCUUGUAAGAGCACCUGAGGCUUCUUGGAGAGUUGAAGCUACUUUAACCUUUCCUGCUUGGCUCCUGUUUCCUUGGGUAUCUAUUCACCUUGUGAUCUGGAAGACUCUGUGAAUUACCUAUGUAGUUCCCUUACAUCCUUUCCUCCUGGAGUGAAAACAGUUUUGACCCUCUCUUGCUUAGCGUCCCUUUCCAUGUUUUGCAGUCAGUAGUGUGAAUAAAUUUAUAAUCAAGGAUGAUAGCAAGGCAGCAGACAGUUUUAUAUUGAGAUCUGGGAAAAGAGAGAAAGAGGAGAGGAGAAGAGAGGAGAGGAAAGGAGAGAAGAGGAGAAGAAAGGAGAGGAGAGAAAGGAGAGGAGAGGGAAGAGAGAAGAGGAGAAGAAAGGAGAGGAGAGG